Molecule: long non-coding RNA, 535 nt
Organism: Morus notabilis
Lineage: Eukaryota; Viridiplantae; Streptophyta; Magnoliopsida; Rosales; Moraceae
Exons: 2
Source: RefSeq, a predicted model, not a curated record
CAUAAUAAAAAGAAAUGGCUUCUAAGAAAUUCUCAUUUGUUUGGGAGGUUCUCUUGAUUGUUAUGCUUCUACUAGCCACGGCAACAAUGGCUUCAAGAAAUCCAGGUCCCUUGUUCGCUAAUAAGAAGCUUGUAGCAAGCCGUCAACUGGGCGAAGCAUUGCCACGGGGUGGCAACCGUCAAAACAAUCCUUAAUCAUUAUAUCAUAUAUAUAUAUAUAUAUAUAUAUAUGUAUGCAUAUGUGCUAGCUCUUGUAAUGGUCGCGUAUUUGUUUUGUCUCAUAGUAAUGGUAUUUUAAAAUAAUCCGAGCUACCUGCUAGGCUCUCUCAACUCGUGUGUGUUAUUUAGGCCUUUCAUCGUGACUCAAUGUUGGUGUGAUUAUUUCUUAUGGUACUAUUACCAUAGUGGCAAGCUCUAUUGAUUUUGUCUAAUGAAGCAUCUGUAAGCUCUGUAAUGAAAUAUGUAUGAAUUUUCCCAAGUAUUAUUAUCUCGAAACCGUCUACAAAAAAUGACUACGGUUUUUUUUUUUAUUCUCA